Long non-coding RNA from Triticum aestivum (bread wheat), 784 nucleotides. RefSeq lists it as uncharacterized. The record is from RefSeq and is a predicted model, not a curated record. Lineage: Eukaryota; Viridiplantae; Streptophyta; Magnoliopsida; Poales; Poaceae. The transcript has 4 exons.
ACUGCUCAAUUUCCUUAGUUAAUCUUCGUGCACUGACCACUGGGUGUUGUUGAUGGCGCAGAUUGUGGCGAGCUUGAGCGUAUGGAGCAGAGGGACCAGGGCAGGGGGGCGGCCGUCCCGGGCACCCGAUGCCUUGUUUCCUCUAUACGUACUUGAUGGUUAGCCCAUGUAGCAGAUCGACUGAUUCUGAAAAAGGAAAAAUGGUAACAGAUCGACUAAUUCUUGGCUUGCUGCAUGCGCGUGAUCUUCUCUGGUUUCUCUUCCCCAAUUGGCAAAAAACCAGCCAUGCCAAGGUCAACGGCACCUUGUCCACGCCGUCUAAUUGCGAUUUUCAGCUGUUGGGUGUGAUUAGUGCAGGAAGAUCCGUUGCUGCUACAGAACCCAACUCCUGAGCACGUCGGAGUUGAGCAAGAAGACGGGAGGAGGUGUCGAGGAGGAAGAGUCCCCUCUUCCUUUUUGGUCCACGCCGCUGUGAAAGUGAUAUUAGGGUACGACAAACUUGUCGACAUGUUCAGUAACAAGCAAGUCUCCACUGUUGGCGUCGAUCUUGGAAUAGAAAGAGUUUUCACAAUCAUUGAGCAACAGGAGAAAGAAAAUAACCAGGUUAUCCGGGCUAGCGUGACAGAGGUUUUAGUGUCGAUUCUAGGGAAGGACCUUAUAUUGGCCGCCGAGCUUGCGAAUGAGUUAUGGAGUGCUGGGAUAAAGGCAGAGUUCAAGCUCACCACCAGGGAGCUGGACCACAUAAAGUAUGUAACUCAGACAGGCAUUCCGUGGAUGGUGCUGG